This 60-nucleotide transfer RNA is filed under the name Camallanus lacustris. Its description in RNAcentral is "tRNA-Lys". The record is from RNAcentral. Lineage: Eukaryota; Metazoa; Nematoda; Chromadorea; Rhabditida; Camallanidae.
AGAGUACUAGCUUAAUUUAAAGUAUCGAAUUUUUGAUUCGGGGAUGUUUUUCGUGCUUUA